UACGUAGGGUCCGCGCGUUGUCCGGAGUUACUGGGCGUAAAGCGCGCGCAGGUGGUCCAUUAAGCCCGGCGUGAAAGCCCCCGGCUCAACCGGGGAGGGUCGUCGGGGACUGGUGGACUUGAGGGCGGCAGGGGCUGGUGGAAUCCCCGGUGUAGUGGUGAAAUGCGUAGAGAUCGGGGGGAACACCCGUGGCGAAGGCGGCCAGCUGGGCCGACCCUGACACUGAGGCGCGAAGGCGUGGGGAGCGAACGGG
RNAcentral lists this ribosomal RNA (253 nucleotides) under uncultured bacterium. RNAcentral's name for it is "partial 16S ribosomal RNA". It matches the Rfam family "Bacterial small subunit ribosomal RNA", at positions 524 to 776 of the family's 1533-position model. The record is from RNAcentral.